CCUACGGGCGGCAGCAGUGGGGGAUCUUGCACAAUGGGGGAAACCCUGAUGCAGCGACGCCGCGUGUGGGCAGACGGUCUUCUUGAUUGUAAACCACUGUCCCCAGGGACGAAAAUGACGGUACCUGGGGAGGAAGCUCCGGCUAACUACGGGCCAGCAGCCGCGGUAAUACGUAGGGAGCAAGCGUUGUCCGGAAUUACUGGGUGUAAAGGGGGCGUAGGCGGGGAUGCAAGUUGGGUGUCAAAACUACCGGCUCAACCGAUAGUCACACUCAAAACUGCAACUCUUGAGUGAAGUAGAGGCAGGCGGAAUUCCUAGUGUAGCGGUGAAAUGCGUAGAUAGUAGGAGGAACACCAGUGGCGAAGGCGGCCUGCUGGGCUUUUACUGACGCUGAGGCUCGAAAGUGUGGGGAGCAAACAGGAUUAGAUACCCUGGUAGUC
Molecule: ribosomal RNA, 440 nt
Filed under: uncultured bacterium
Lineage: Bacteria
Description: partial 16S ribosomal RNA
Rfam family: Bacterial small subunit ribosomal RNA
Source: RNAcentral